RNAcentral lists this ribosomal RNA (301 nucleotides) under uncultured bacterium. Its description in RNAcentral is "partial 16S ribosomal RNA". It matches the Rfam family "Bacterial small subunit ribosomal RNA", at positions 509 to 807 of the family's 1533-position model. The record is from RNAcentral.
CAGUAGCCGCGGUAAUACGGAGGGUGCAAGCGUUAAUCGGAAUUACUGGGCGUAAAGCGCACGCAGGCGGUUUGUUAAGUCAGAUGUGAAAUCCCCGAGCUUAACUUGGGAACUGCAUUUGAAACUGGCAAGCUAGAGUCUUGUAGAGGGGGGUAGAAUUCCAGGUGUAGCGGUGAAAUGCGUAGAGAUCUGGAGGAAUACCGGUGGCGAAGGCGGCCCCCUGGACUAAGACUGACGCUCAGGUGCGAAAGCGUGGGGAGCAAACAGGAUUAGAUACCCGUGUAGUCCCUGUCUCUUAUAC